Molecule: non-coding RNA, 74 nt
Organism: Potamilus streckersoni
Lineage: Eukaryota; Metazoa; Mollusca; Bivalvia; Unionida; Unionidae
Source: the annotation of a GenBank genome assembly
GGGCCCGUGGCCAAAGUGGAUAAGGCUUCUGACUUCGGAUCAGGAGACUGCAGGUUUGAGUCCUGCCGGGCUCG